CAAUCGGCCCUUUUCAGGGCCACCAACUGUUCAUAAACGUAUUUG
Nasonia vitripennis (jewel wasp) is the source of this 45-nucleotide non-coding RNA. The record is from Rfam. NCBI's taxonomy places the organism in Eukaryota, Metazoa, Arthropoda, Insecta, Hymenoptera, Pteromalidae.